Molecule: ribosomal RNA, 738 nt
Filed under: uncultured archaeon
Lineage: Archaea
Description: bacterial SSU rRNA
Rfam family: Archaeal small subunit ribosomal RNA
Source: RNAcentral
ACCGGGAUAACCCUGGGAAACUGGGGAUAAUACUGGAUAGGCAAUUUUUCCUGUAAUGGUUUUUUGUUUAAAUGUUUUUUCGCCUAAGGAUGGGUCUGCGGCCGAUUAGGUAGUUGGUUAGGUAAUGGCUUACCAAGCCGUUGAUCGGUACGGGUUGUGAGAGCAAGAGCCCGGAGAUGGAACCUGAGACAAGGUUCCAGGCCCUACGGGGUGCAGCAGGCGCGAAACCUCCGCAAUGUGAGAAAUCGCGACGGGGGGAUCCCAAGUGCCAUUCUUAACGGGAUGGCUUUUCUUAAGUGUAAAGAGCUUUUGGAAUAAGGGCUGGGCAAGACCGGUGCCAGCCGCCGCGGUAACACCGGCAGCUCUAGUGGUAGCAGUUUUUAUUGGGCCUAAAGCGUCCGUAGCCGGUUUAAUAAGUCUCUGGUGAAAUCCUGUAGCUUAACUGUGGGAAUUGCUGGAGAUACUAUUAGACUUGAGACCGGGAGAGGUUGGAGGUACUCCCAGGGUAGAGGUGAAAUUCUGUAAUCCUGGGAGGACCGCCUGUUGCGAAGGCGUCCAACUGGAACGGUUCUGACGGUGAGGGACGAAAGUUAGGGGCGCGAACCGGAUUAGAUACCCGGGUAGUCCUAACUGUAAACGAUGCGGACUUGGUGUUGGGGUGGCUUUGAGCUGCUCCAGUGCCGAAGGGAAGCUGUUAAGUCCGCCGCCUGGGAAGUACGGUCGCAAGACUGAAACUUA